UACGUAGGGUGCAAGCGUUGUCCGGAAUUAUUGGGCGUAAAGGGCGCGUAGGCGGCUUGGCAAGUGGAUGGUGAAAUCCCUCGGCUUAACCGAGGAACUGCCGUCCAAACUGCUUCGCUUGAGACCGGGAGAGGUGAGUGGAAUUCCCAGUGUAGCGGUGAAAUCCGUAGAUCUACGAAGGAACGCCAAAAGCGAAGGCAGCUCUCUGGGUCCCUACCGACGCUGGGGUGCGAAAGCAUGGGGAGCGAACAGG
RNAcentral lists this ribosomal RNA (253 nucleotides) under uncultured bacterium. RNAcentral describes it as "partial 16S ribosomal RNA". It matches the Rfam family "Bacterial small subunit ribosomal RNA", at positions 524 to 776 of the family's 1533-position model. The record is from RNAcentral.